This 157-nucleotide ribosomal RNA is filed under the name uncultured bacterium. Its description in RNAcentral is "partial 16S ribosomal RNA". It matches the Rfam family "Bacterial small subunit ribosomal RNA", at positions 355 to 509 of the family's 1533-position model. The record is from RNAcentral.
UGAGGAAUAUUGGUCAAUGGGCGGAAGCCUGAACCAGCCAAGUCGCGUGAGGGAAGACGGUCCUAUGGAUUGUAAACCUCUUUUGCAGGGGAGCAAGGAGCGGUACGCGUACCGCUUUGGAGAGUACCCUGAGAAAAGCAUCGGCUAACUCCGUGCC